UACGGAGGGUGCAAGCGUUGCUCGGAAUUAUUGGGCGUAAAAGGUAGGUAGGUGGUCUCAUUUGUCUGGGGUGAAAGCCUUGAGCUUAACUCAAGAAGUGCCCCAGAAACGGUGAGACUGGAGUCCUGGAGAGGGUCGUGGAAUUCCCGGUGUAGCGGUGAAAUGCGUAGAGAUCGGGAGGAACACCAGAGGCGAAAGCGGCGACCUGGACAGGUACUGACACUCAACUACGAAAGCGUGGGGAGCAAACAGG
This 253-nucleotide ribosomal RNA is filed under the name uncultured bacterium. RNAcentral describes it as "partial 16S ribosomal RNA". It matches the Rfam family "Bacterial small subunit ribosomal RNA", at positions 524 to 776 of the family's 1533-position model. The record is from RNAcentral.